This 1464-nucleotide ribosomal RNA is filed under the name Dickeya zeae DZ2Q. RNAcentral's name for it is "bacterial SSU rRNA". It matches the Rfam family "Bacterial small subunit ribosomal RNA". Lineage: Bacteria; Pseudomonadati; Pseudomonadota; Gammaproteobacteria; Enterobacterales; Pectobacteriaceae. The record is from RNAcentral.
AGAGUUUGAUCAUGGCUCAGAUUGAACGCUGGCGGCAGGCCUAACACAUGCAAGUCGAGCGGCAGCGGGGGGAAGCUUGCUUCCCCGCCGGCGAGCGGCGGACGGGUGAGUAAUGUCUGGGAAACUGCCUGAUGGAGGGGGAUAACUACUGGAAACGGUAGCUAAUACCGCAUAACGUCGCAAGACCAAAGAGGGGGACCUUCGGGCCUCUUGCCAUCGGAUGUGCCCAGAUGGGAUUAGCUAGUAGGUGGGGUAAAGGCUCACCUAGGCGACGAUCCCUAGCUGGUCUGAGAGGAUGACCAGCCACACUGGAACUGAGACACGGUCCAGACUCCUACGGGAGGCAGCAGUGGGGAAUAUUGCACAAUGGGCGCAAGCCUGAUGCAGCCAUGCCGCGUGUGUGAAGAAGGCCUUCGGGUUGUAAAGCACUUUCAGCGGGGAGGAAGGGAGCAGGCUUAAUACGUCUGUUCAUUGACGUUACCCGCAGAAGAAGCACCGGCUAACUCCGUGCCAGCAGCCGCGGUAAUACGGAGGGUGCAAGCGUUAAUCGGAAUGACUGGGCGUAAAGCGCACGCAGGCGGUCUGUUAAGUUGGAUGUGAAAUCCCCGGGCUUAACCUGGGAACUGCAUUCAAAACUGACAGGCUAGAGUCUCGUAGAGGGGGGUAGAAUUCCAGGUGUAGCGGUGAAAUGCGUAGAGAUCUGGAGGAAUACCGGUGGCGAAGGCGGCCCCCUGGACGAAGACUGACGCUCAGGUGCGAAAGCGUGGGGAGCAAACAGGAUUAGAUACCCUGGUAGUCCACGCUGUAAACGAUGUCGAUUUGGAGGUUGUGGUCUUGAACCGUGGCUUCCGGAGCUAACGCGUUAAAUCGACCGCCUGGGGAGUACGGCCGCAAGGUUAAAACUCAAAUGAAUUGACGGGGGCCCGCACAAGCGGUGGAGCAUGUGGUUUAAUUCGAUGCAACGCGAAGAACCUUACCUACUCUUGACAUCCAGAGAAGACUGCAGAGAUGCGGUUGUGCCUUCGGGAACUCUGAGACAGGUGCUGCAUGGCUGUCGUCAGCUCGUGUUGUGAAAUGUUGGGUUAAGUCCCGCAACGAGCGCAACCCUUAUCCUUUGUUGCCAGCACUUCGGGUGGGAACUCAAGGGAGACUGCCGGUGAUAAACCGGAGGAAGGUGGGGAUGACGUCAAGUCAUCAUGGCCCUUACGAGUAGGGCUACACACGUGCUACAAUGGCGUAUACAAAGAGAAGCGACCUCGCGAGAGCAAGCGGACCUCAUAAAGUACGUCGUAGUCCGGAUUGGAGUCUGCAACUCGACUCCAUGAAGUCGGAAUCGCUAGUAAUCGUAGAUCAGAAUGCUACGGUGAAUACGUUCCCGGGCCUUGUACACACCGCCCGUCACACCAUGGGAGUGGGUUGCAAAAGAAGUAGGUAGCUUAACCUUCGGGAGGGCGCUUACCACUU